This 356-nucleotide ribosomal RNA is filed under the name uncultured bacterium. Its description in RNAcentral is "partial 16S ribosomal RNA". It matches the Rfam family "Bacterial small subunit ribosomal RNA", at positions 338 to 691 of the family's 1533-position model. The record is from RNAcentral.
CCUACGGGAGGCAGCAGGGAGGAAUAUUGGGCAAUGGACGGAAGUCUGAACCAGCCAGGCCGCGUGCAGGAAGACGGCUCGAUGAGUGAUAAACUGCUUUUGUACAAGGGUAAACCUGAAUACGUGGAUUCAGCUGAAAGGACGGUACGAAUAAGGAGCGGCUAACUCCGUGCCAGCAGCCGCGGUAAUACGGAGGAUCCAAGCGUUAUCCGGAUUUAUUGGGUUUAAAGGGUGCGUAGGCGGAUUGAUAAGUUAGAGGUGAAAUGUCCGAGCUUAACUCGGGAACUGCCUCUAAUACUGUUGAUCUAGCGCGUAGAUGCGGUAGGCGGCAUGUCUGGUGUCGCGGUGAACUGCUU